This 989-nucleotide ribosomal RNA is filed under the name Psychrobacter sp. DJHH64. Its description in RNAcentral is "bacterial SSU rRNA". It matches the Rfam family "Bacterial small subunit ribosomal RNA", at positions 371 to 1353 of the family's 1533-position model. Lineage: Bacteria; Pseudomonadati; Pseudomonadota; Gammaproteobacteria; Moraxellales; Moraxellaceae. The record is from RNAcentral.
AUGGGGGCAACCCUGAUCCAGCCAUGCCGCGUGUGUGAAGAAGGCCUUUUGGUUGUAAAGCACUUUAAGCAGUGAAGAAGACCUAACGGUUAAUACCCGUUAGCGAUGACAUUAGCUGCAGAAUAAGCACCGGCUAACUCUGUGCCAGCAGCCGCGGUAAUACAGAGGGUGCAAGCGUUAAUCGGAAUUACUGGGCGUAAAGCGAGCGUAGGUGGCUUGAUAAGUCAGAUGUGAAAUCCCCGGGCUUAACCUGGGAACUGCAUCUGAUACUGUUAGGCUAGAAUAGGUGAGAGGAAGGUAGAAUUCCAGGUGUAGCGGUGAAAUGCGUAGAGAUCUGGAGGAAUACCGAUGGCGAAGGCAGCCUUCUGGCAUCAUAUUGACACUGAGGUUCGAAAGCGUGGGUAGCAAACAGGAUUAGAUACCCUGGUAGUCCACGCCGUAAACGAUGUCUACUAGUCGUUGGGUCCCUUGAGGACUUAGUGACGCAGCUAACGCAAUAAGUAGACCGCCUGGGGAGUACGGCCGCAAGGUUAAAACUCAAAUGAAUUGACGGGGGCCCGCACAAGCGGUGGAGCAUGUGGUUUAAUUCGAUGCAACGCGAAGAACCUUACCUGGUCUUGACAUAUCUAGAAUCCUGCAGAGAUGCGGGAGUGCCUUCGGGAAUUAGAAUACAGGUGCUGCAUGGCUGUCGUCAGCUCGUGUCGUGAGAUGUUGGGUUAAGUCCCGCAACGAGCGCAACCCUUGUCCUUAGUUACCAGCGGGUUAAGCCGGGAACUCUAAGGAUACUGCCAGUGACAAACUGGAGGAAGGCGGGGACGACGUCAAGUCAUCAUGGCCCUUACGACCAGGGCUACACACGUGCUACAAUGGUAGGUACAGAGGGCAGCUACACAGCGAUGUGAUGCGAAUCUUUCAAAGCCUAUCGUAGUCCAGAUUGCAGUCUGCACUCGACUCCAUGAAGUAGGAAUCGCUAGUAAUCGCGGAUCAGA